GAUCCUGGCUCAGGAUGAACGCUGGCGGCGUGCCUAACACAUGCAAGUCGAACGGAAGGUAAGCGCUUCGGAGACUUCGGUCAAUGUUUGCUUAUCUUUAGUGGCGGACGGGUGAGUAACGCGUGGAUAACCUGCCUCACACAGGGGGAUAACAGUUAGAAAUGACUGCUAAUACCGCAUAAGCGCACAGUCUCGCAUGGGACAGUGUGAAAAACCGAGGUGGCGUGAGAUGGAUCCGCGUCUGAUUAGCCAGUUGGCGGGGUAACGGCCCACCAAAGCGACGAUCAGUAGCCGGCCUGAGAGGGUGAACGGCCACAUUGGGACUGAGACACGGCCCAAACUCCUACGGGAGGCAGCAGUGGGGGAUAUUGCACAAUGGGGGAAACCCUGAUGCAGCGAACCGCCGCGUGAGUGAAGAAGUAUUUCGGUAUGUAAAGCUCUAUCAGCAGGGAAGAUAAUGACGGUACCUGACUAAGAAGCACCGGCUAAAUACGUGCCAGCAGCAGC
RNAcentral lists this ribosomal RNA (507 nucleotides) under uncultured bacterium. Its description in RNAcentral is "bacterial SSU rRNA". It matches the Rfam family "Bacterial small subunit ribosomal RNA", at positions 15 to 518 of the family's 1533-position model. The record is from RNAcentral.